AUACGGAGGGUGCGAGCGUUAAUCGGAAUUACUGGGCGUAAAGCGCGCGUAGGCGGCUAGAUCAGUCGGAUGUGAAAGCCCUGGGCUUAACCUGGGAACUGCAUUCGAUACUGUCUAGCUAGAGUAUGGUAGAGGGAAGCGGAAUUCCGGGUGUAGCGGUGAAAUGCGUAGAUAUCCGGAGGAACACCAGUGGCGAAGGCGGCUUCCUGGACCAAUACUGACGCUGAGGUGCGAAAGCGUGGGGAGCAAACAGGAUUAGAUACCCCUGUAGUCC
Molecule: ribosomal RNA, 274 nt
Filed under: uncultured bacterium
Lineage: Bacteria
Description: partial 16S ribosomal RNA
Rfam family: Bacterial small subunit ribosomal RNA
Source: RNAcentral